RNAcentral lists this non-coding RNA (111 nucleotides) under Candidatus Moranbacteria bacterium GW2011_GWA2_39_41. Lineage: Bacteria; Candidatus Moraniibacteriota. The record is from RNAcentral.
AAAUUAGCUUUUAAAAUGAAUGGGUCUGGGAAAAGGAAAUAUAGCGAAGCGGAACUCCUAAAUGUUUUGGAUAAGAUGAAGAUAUAGUCUGAUUUUUCGCGAAAGCGAUCA